Dermacentor andersoni is the source of this 1091-nucleotide long non-coding RNA. RefSeq lists it as uncharacterized. The record is from RefSeq and is a predicted model, not a curated record. Lineage: Eukaryota; Metazoa; Arthropoda; Arachnida; Ixodida; Ixodidae.
CUUGUCAAACACUGAUCCCAUGCUGUGCGCCGAUUUCGCACAUUGCUCUGCAGAGUGAUAUAUGACACAAACAGACAUUUUAAUGCACUUUACAAAACAUUUAUUUUAUUUAUUACUUGGAAAUUACUGCUAUACGCGCUUUGCGAUCACUAUGUUACACGCAUAUGUUUUCCGUUCUUAUGCAACAAAUGUUUUUCGUCAAUGUUAAAAGGAUGUUUAACUCGCGUACGGUAGUUUGUCGAAUCGGAUAGUUGGAGUAAUCAAGGCCCAACUCUUACAUGAAGUGGGUGAACCACUGAUUUGUUUACAGUUUUGAGACCACCGGCGAGGCAUUGGCGGCAACGUACGUUGAUCAACGAGAAAUUUAACGCGCGCUUCACUGGUCAUCAAUCAUGUAGUUCAACAUCUUUUUUUGUAUUUGUACAUUUCGUAUCGAACCGAAAUCUAUGCUGUACGUUCACUUCACGCCUUAGCCUUACGGGGGUAUGAGCCAUUGCACCUGCCUCUGCAGUGCUACCGGAAUCGGCCCACUGGGUUUUUUGUCGAUACGAACGACGCGAUUCAAAUCCAGGGAUCCUAGACAUAAAGAACUUUGUUGUAAUAAUUCUUUUUCUUGUGCCCAUGAAAAAGAAAACGAGUUGCUGCCCAGGAGAGUACGCAGCAUAUGUUGUUUUUGUCUUUCUUCUAAAAUAAAUGGAAGAGGAAGACGCGCUGCUCGGAUCUCUAGUUCAUGCCUAUUGUCCUUCACCGGCCUCCAAGCGUGGUCAAACGGAUUCGCCUUUCCGACACUCCAAGAGGACGUGGAGGAGGGUCAGCCUCUCACCACAUCGAGCACAGGUUGGCGGUUCAUUUCCAGUUUUCGUUGUCCGCCCAGUUCUACGCAAAGAUCUGGGACCAGACCUUUUUUUCUUGUGAAGAGAACAAAAGAACUUUUGUGGUGGUUGAUUUUAAAUCCAUUUUCGUCUGCCCACUUGGACACCUUGUUUAAGCCCCGCUGUACCUGUCUUUCGCACACUGUAAGGUUGCAGGAUUUGAAACGUAUCUGUAUAUCGUCUACGUAGACGGAAUAAAAAAUGGCCGGUGGCAGUGAA